RNAcentral lists this transfer RNA (56 nucleotides) under Cryptocephalus flavolimbatus. Its description in RNAcentral is "tRNA-Phe". Lineage: Eukaryota; Metazoa; Arthropoda; Insecta; Coleoptera; Chrysomelidae. The record is from RNAcentral.
AGCUUAUAAAAGAGCGUAGUAUUGAAGAUACUAAGGAAUUAUUUUAUUUUUAAGUA